Molecule: ribosomal RNA, 454 nt
Filed under: uncultured bacterium
Lineage: Bacteria
Description: partial 16S ribosomal RNA
Rfam family: Bacterial small subunit ribosomal RNA
Source: RNAcentral
GAUGAACGCUGACAGAAUGCUUAACACAUGCAAGUCUACUUGAACUUCGGUUUGGGUGGCGGACGGGUGAGUAACGCGUAAAGAACUUGCCUCACAGUUAGGGUCAACAUUUGGAAACGAAUGCUAAUACCUGAUAUUAUGAUUUUAGGGCAUCCUAGGAUUAUGAAAGCUAUAUGUGCUGUGAGAGAGCUUUGCGUCCCAUUAGCUAGUUGGAGAGGUAACGGCUCACCAAGGCGAUGAUGGGUAGCCGGCCUGAGAGGGUGAACGGCCACAAGGGGACUGAGACACGGCCCUUACUCCUACGGGAGGCAGCAGUGGGGAAUAUUGGACAAUGGACCAAAAGUCUGAUCCAGCAAUUCUGUGUGCACGAUGACGUUUUUCGGAAUGUAAAGUGCUUUCAGUUGGGAAGAAAAAAAUGACGGUACCAACAGAAGAAGUGACGGCUAAAUACGUG